RNAcentral lists this non-coding RNA (29 nucleotides) under Rattus norvegicus (Norway rat). The record is from RNAcentral. Lineage: Eukaryota; Metazoa; Chordata; Mammalia; Rodentia; Muridae.
UCCUCUCAACAACCCAAUGAGGUGUGCAC